RNAcentral lists this transfer RNA (73 nucleotides) under Araneus ventricosus. RNAcentral describes it as "tRNA-Thr". Lineage: Eukaryota; Metazoa; Arthropoda; Arachnida; Araneae; Araneidae. The record is from RNAcentral.
AGCCACCAGCGAGAUUCGAACUCGCGACCCCUGGUUAACGAGACCAGUGCUCUAACCUCUGAGCUAUGGUGGC